GUGUUGCACGUGGUCAGGGUUUAAUUCUUAUUAAUACUUGUUCUUUUGGGAGAAAGUUGAACUUUGUCAUUUUUGGGGAAAUUUACUUGCAUAAAUAGGGCGUUUCCAGACAACUCCUCCUACAGUUUGAAUGCUAGGAAUUUAUCACUCUACUGGCUGUUUGUACAUGUAUUGAAGGUGUGCAUGUGGUCAGGUUUUUUUUAUUAUUUU
RNAcentral lists this long non-coding RNA (210 nucleotides) under Mytilus galloprovincialis (Mediterranean mussel). Lineage: Eukaryota; Metazoa; Mollusca; Bivalvia; Mytilida; Mytilidae. The record is from RNAcentral.